GGGCUCCUGGGGCAAUGGCCUUUGGUAGUAUAUAGUGAGUGUACUUAAUAGAACAAAGAACAGAUACAGGAGUAUAGUGACAAGAUGGGUAAAGAACCCUAGGUCCAACAUACCCACAUUGUGGUUGACCAUCCUAUAGACAUUAGUUUGCUAACCAAUUUUUAAAAAUGAUUUUAAACUGCCAUAUAUCUUUUUGACUUUUGCCCUACUGUUGCUUCAUUCUCCAAACUAGACCUCCAGAGGGUUUCUGAAGGUGUCAAGUCAUCUAACUUUGGAAAUCUUGCCCUGAGACCAUGUUGUCCUCAUUGGUGGAUUAGUGGUGUGAACUUACUGAUUGGAAGGAUGGCACCACCUGUGACAGGUUCCUCAGGAAAUAACUAAGAUGAUGUGGAAGUCCCAUCUCUUUGAGGAAUUGCCACAUAUUGUUAUUAUUCAUGAAAAGACUUUAAUAUAAUCAAUGAAAUAAAGGUAAAUGUUUUUCUGUAACCUCCUUGACC
RNAcentral lists this long non-coding RNA (497 nucleotides) under Monodelphis domestica (gray short-tailed opossum). RNAcentral's name for it is "lncRNA (ENSMODG00000041153.1)". Lineage: Eukaryota; Metazoa; Chordata; Mammalia; Didelphimorphia; Didelphidae. The record is from RNAcentral.